This 497-nucleotide ribosomal RNA is filed under the name uncultured bacterium. RNAcentral's name for it is "partial 16S ribosomal RNA". It matches the Rfam family "Bacterial small subunit ribosomal RNA", at positions 28 to 507 of the family's 1533-position model. The record is from RNAcentral.
GAUGAACGCUGGCGGCGUGCCUAAUACAUGCAAGUCGAGCGAACAGACGAGGAGCUUGCUCCUCUGAUGUUAGCGGCGGACGGGUGAGUAACACGUGGAUAACCUACCUAUAAGACUGGGAUAACUUCGGGAAACCGGAGCUAAUACCGGAUAACAUGUUGAACCGCAUGGUUCAACAGUGAAAGCCGGUCUUGCUGUCACUUAUAGAUGGAUCCGCGCCGCAUUAGCUAGUUGGUAAGGUAACGGCUUACCAAGGCAACGAUGCGUAGCCGACCUGAGAGGGUGAUCGGCCACACUGGAACUGAGACACGGUCCAGACUCCUACGGGAGGCAGCAGUAGGGAAUCUUCCGCAAUGGGCGAAAGCCUGACGGAGCAACGCCGCGUGAGUGAAGAAGGUCUUCGGAUCGUAAAACUCUGUUAUUAGGGAAGAACAAAUGUGUAAGUAACUAUGCACGUCUUGACGGUACCUAAUCAGAAAGCCACGGCUAACUACGUG